This 434-nucleotide ribosomal RNA is filed under the name uncultured bacterium. RNAcentral describes it as "partial 16S ribosomal RNA". It matches the Rfam family "Bacterial small subunit ribosomal RNA", at positions 29 to 507 of the family's 1533-position model. The record is from RNAcentral.
AGCGAACGCUGGCGGCAGGCCUAACACAUGCAAGUCGAACGAACCUUUCGGGGUUAGUGGCGGACGGGUGAGUAACACGUGGGAACGUGCCUUUAGGCUCGGAAUAACUCAGGGAAACUUGUGCUAAUACCGAAUGUGUCCUUCGGGGGAAAGAUUUAUCGCCGUUAGAGCGGCCCGCGUCUGUUUAGCUAGUUGGUUGAGGUAAUGGCUCACUAAGGCGACGAUCAGUAGCUGGUCUGAGAGGAUGAUCAGCCACAUUGGGACUGAGACACGGCCCAUAAUCCUACGGGAGGCAGCAGUGGGGAAUCUUGCGAAAUGGGCGAAAGCCUGACGCAGCCAUGCCGCGUGAAUGAUGAAGGUCUUAGGAUUGUAAAAUUCUUUCACCGGGGACGAUAAUGACGGUACCCGGAGAAGAAGCCCCGGCUAACUUCGUG